GCGAGGAGGGCAGUGAGAGGCUGAGUGAAAGCUGCGGAGUAAGCAGAGCUGCUAAAUGAAGCCCAACGCCGCACCGACGCACCUGUGCGCGUGUUUGUCCCCGUCCACGAAUCUGGCCCCCGGACCGGUUUUUCUGGCAGAAACUGGACUUCCAGAGUUCCUACCGGACCGAAGGAAACCAACACACGCAGAAACCUGCUGACGUCCGGCUUCGGCUGAAAACACACCUGAGAACACAAUGAGCACCUGUCAGAGUGUGUGUGUCUGUCAACAAAAAGGUGUCUGACCCAACAAGACGCACACAUUGCUUUCUACACGCCCGUGUGUGUGUGUGUGUGUGCGUAUCAACGCGCCAUUAGUGUCGUCACGGUAACAGCAGCAGCGAUUGCCGGGUGGUGGAAGCUGCCGCUGGUUGCCAAGGCGAUGUCAAGCCGCCGUGUGACCUUCGGAGCGGGGACGGACUCCGGCUUCUCUUAAGCGAGUCAGAGCGAAGAGGUUUUACAUUUGAGUUCAUUGUCUGUGAAAUCUGUGAAAAAACACAGAAUAAAACACACAAACCGAACUGAAUCAUCACGGCGGGAAAGAAAAUGAACGCGACACAGAGGGACCACUUCCUGUGUCCUGGCCAGGCCUUCCACACCCUCUACACCAGCCAGUGUGUACGAUGCUCUGACACCUGGAGAAGGAGUUAAACAUCCAGACUGCGGAUGGGCACCGUCAGGCCUCAAAACCCUCCUGGACCCGGCACCUACGUGACAAAAUUAAAGCAAAAAGGAAAAUCCCAUAAUGCCGUCAUCAUAUUAUUCACAAUAAAAACACACACUAAACGUUUUGGUCACUUACGAAAUGUUUGCCAUCUUUUUCUAAAGCCACUGAUGCUUCUCAGUGUAGCCUGCACAGAGGUGUUUAACCAAAGCCUGAAUGAUGUCUGUAGGGACCUUCCGGAGUUGACUCUACCGCCAGCUGUGGUUUCCUCAGAGCAAUCCUAACCCUUCACGGGGGGGGGUCUGCUUUUCAAACACUCCCCAGAUGUCCCUAAGCCGAGUCAGCUUCCUGCCUGGAACACGGCGAUCUAUGAUUCAUCGUCGGAGGAAACAGAAACUCGUCACUUUCCAUCUUUGAAAAUCGUCAUCGCGCAAAACUGCAGUGAAAGAGGUACAGCCAUCGACCAUGAAGCACAGCGUUACUCCUUUUUUUAUUAAAG
Xiphias gladius (swordfish) is the source of this 1204-nucleotide long non-coding RNA. RefSeq lists it as uncharacterized. Lineage: Eukaryota; Metazoa; Chordata; Actinopteri; Istiophoriformes; Xiphiidae. The record is from RefSeq and is a predicted model, not a curated record. The transcript has 3 exons.